GGGCUCAGCUAAGAGCGCAUCACCGUGUCUCGCUGUUGCAGUACUUAGUGGUCGGCACGGGUGAGUAAUGUCUGGGAAACUGCCCGAUGGAGGGGGAUAACUACUGGAAACGGUAGCUAAUACCGCAUAAUGUCGCAAGACCAAAGAGGGGGACCUUCGGGCCUCUUGCCAUCGGAUGUGCCCAGAUGGGAUUAGCUAGUUGGUGAGGUAACGGCUCACCAAGGCGACGAUCCCUAGCUGGUCUGAGAGGAUGACCAGCCACACUGGAACUGAGACACGGUCCAGACUCCUACGGGAGGCAGCAGUGGGGAAUAUUGCACAAUGGGCGCAAGCCUGAUGCAGCCAUGCCGCGUGUAUGAAGAAGGCCUUCGGGUUGUAAAGUACUUUCAGCGGGGAGGAAGGGGUUAAGGUUAAUAACCUUAGCCAUUGACGUUACCCGCAGAAGAAGCACCGGCUAACUCCGUGCCAGCAGCCGCGGUAAUACGGAGGGUGCAAGCGUUAAUCGGAAUUACUGGGCGUAAAGCGCACGCAGGCGGUCUGUCAAGUCGGAUGUGAAAUCCCCGGGCUCAACCUGGGAACUGCAUUCGAAACUGGCAGGCUUGAGUCUCGUAGAGGGGGGUAGAAUUCCAGGUGUAGCGGUGAAAUGCGUAGAGAUCUGGAGGAAUACCGGUGGCGAAGGCGGCCCCCUGGACGAAGACUGACGCUCAGGUGCGAAAGCGUGUGGAGCAAACAGGAUUAGAUACCCUGGUAGUCCACGCCGUAAACGAUGUCUAUUUGAAGGUUGUGCCCUUGAGGUGUGCCUUCCGCAGCUAACGCGUUAAAUAGACCGCCUGGAGAGUACGGCCGCAAGGUUGACACUCAAAUGAAUUGACGGAGGUCCCGCACAACCGGGGGAGCAUGUAGGUUAAUUCAAUGCAACGCAAAGAACCUUACCUGUUCUUGACUUCCACAGAACUUGACAGAAAUACCUUGUUCCCUUCCGGAACUGGAAAGCAAGGGGCUGAUGUCUUACGCCCACCCCCCUUCCCGAGUGGUGAAUGGU
RNAcentral lists this ribosomal RNA (1042 nucleotides) under Citrobacter amalonaticus. RNAcentral's name for it is "bacterial SSU rRNA". It matches the Rfam family "Bacterial small subunit ribosomal RNA", at positions 49 to 1080 of the family's 1533-position model. Lineage: Bacteria; Pseudomonadati; Pseudomonadota; Gammaproteobacteria; Enterobacterales; Enterobacteriaceae. The record is from RNAcentral.